Molecule: ribosomal RNA, 300 nt
Filed under: uncultured archaeon
Lineage: Archaea
Description: bacterial SSU rRNA
Rfam family: Bacterial small subunit ribosomal RNA
Source: RNAcentral
GCUUGGUGCUUGCCAGGAGCCGCGUGAAGGCUAACCGUCGAAACGUUAUUCGGGAUCAUUUGGCUUACAGAGUUCUGAGGUGGGCGGGAAGGGUGGGUGUGAAAUCCCUCGGCUCAACCGAGGAACUGGGCUGUAAACUAGCGGACUCUAGGGAGAUAGAGGAAAGCGGAACUGAUGGUGUAGCGGUGAAAUGCGUUGAUAUCAGCAGGAACACCGGUGGCGAAGGCGGCUUUCGGGGUCUUACCUGACGCUGAGGAACGAAAACCAGGAGAGCGAACGGGAUUAGAUACCCGAGUAGUC